GUUUUGGGUCCAUCAAGUUUUUGGCGCCGUUGCCGGGGAGUUGCAAAGAAGAGAAACAAUUUGUGUCAAGGUGUAUUUGUUGGGGCAAAUGAAAUGUUGAUAAAAUGUUGGUAUAAAGAAAUGAAGAAAGCAAGCCCAAAAUGAAAGGCCCAAUCCAAUUCUUGACAAUGCCAUGUCAUCAAUCCAUGUGCUUCUUUCUCCACCAUUGGAUUUGUAACUAUAGGAAAAGAUGACAAUUUUGAGCAUGAAUCCAUGUGCUUUUUUUUAGACUAAUAGGAGUGUUAUCCUUUACCAAAGAAUUUAUCUAUAAAUAGGAGUCUCAUUUCACCAUUUCAAGCACACCUUCUCUUACACCACUUCUUCCAUCUCUCUAUUCUCUCCAUCUUUUUCUUUUCUUAGAUUAGUUUUUAUGUAUUUUUAGAGGAAUAAUUUGGAGGUUCCUCCUCCAAAUUUUCCUAUUUAUGUUGUAAUUUUUAUUUUUGUUUUUGAUAGUUAUGGGUUUCUAAUCCACUUAAAAUUAUUAAGGUGGAGGAUGAACCAAGAUAUAACUAUAUAGUGUUUAUUUUAUGUUGACCUCCCAAAAUGAGCAAUAAAGUUUAUGAUUUUUCUUCUUCUAAAUAUUUCUUUCAUCUAUAAUAUCAUGUAUUUUAGAUUGUUAGAACAUAUUUUACUUGGUUCUUAAUUGUGCAAAAACAUAGUAUUCUUUGAUUAAGAUGUGUCAUUAAAUUGUUCACAUCCAAUGCUUAGAACAAAAAUACUAUAUUUUGCUUUAGAAAUAACAUUAUUUGAUUUUUUUGUAGUUUCAUUAAAUUGAUUCACAACUAAUGCUUUAAAGUUAUACUAUUGAAGUGAAGGAAAAUCUAUAUUUUUUGAAUUAAAGAGAGCUUAAAGGAAGAAUAAUGUUUUGGAAAAGGUAAUUAGAUUAAUUUCAAUUAUCACUAAAAAUUGGGAAGUCAACAUAUUAAUAAAUAUUAUUAUUUAUAUUUUGUGGAUUCUAAAAUCUUAAUAAUUUUAUAAAUAACUAUUAAAAACAAAUCUUUUUAGUUUAUUUAUUUUAAUUUUUUUUAGUAUUUUCUUUCUUUAUUUUAAAACAAAACACAUCAAUCUUUGGAACUAGGUUAGAAAUUUAUUUCA
Long non-coding RNA from Humulus lupulus (European hop), 1134 nucleotides. RefSeq lists it as uncharacterized. The transcript is spliced from 2 exons. NCBI's taxonomy places the organism in Eukaryota, Viridiplantae, Streptophyta, Magnoliopsida, Rosales, Cannabaceae. The record is from RefSeq and is a predicted model, not a curated record.